UAACUGCGAGUGAAGCGGGAAAAGCUCAAAUUUAAAAUCUGGCAGUCUUUGAUUGUCCGAGUUGUAUUCUAGAGAAGUGUUUUCCGCGUUGGACCGUGUACAAGUCUCUUGGAACAGAGCGUCAUAGAGGGUGAGAAUCCCGUCUUUGACACGGACUACCAAUGCUUUGUGAUGCGCUCUCAAAGAGUCGAGUUGUUUGGGAAUGCAGCUCAAAAUGGGUGGUAAAUUCCAUCUAAAGCUAAAUAUUGGCGAGAGACCGAUAGCGAACAAGUACCGUGAGGGAAAGAUGAAAAGCACUUUGGAAAGAGAGUUAAACAGUACGUGAAAUUGUUGAAAGGGAAACGCUUGAAGUCAGUCGCGUUAGUCAGAACUCAGCCUUGCUUUUGCUUGGUGCACUUUCUGAUUGGACGGGCCAGCAUCAGUUUUGACUGCAGGAGAAAGGUUAGAGGAAUGUGGCAUCUUCGGAUGUGUUAUAGCCUCUGAUUGUAUACUGUGAUUGGGACUGAGGAACUCAGCACGCGCAAGCUGUGCUUAGGAUGCUGGCGUAAUGGCUUUAAACGACCCGUCUUGAAACACGGACCAAGGAGUCUAACAUGCCUGCGAGUAUUUGGGUGGUAAACCCGAGUGCGCAAUGAAAGUGAAAGUUGGGAUCUCUGUCGUGGAGAGCACCGACGCCCGGACCAGACCUUCUGUGACGGAUCUGCGGUAGAGCAUGUAUGUUGGGACCCGAAAGAUGGUGAACUAUGCCUGAAUAGGGUGAAGCCAGAGGAAACUCUGGUGGAGGCUCGUAGCGAUUCUGACGUGCAAAUCGAUCGUCAAA
This 820-nucleotide ribosomal RNA is filed under the name Ceriporia purpurea. RNAcentral's name for it is "partial 28S ribosomal RNA". It matches the Rfam family "Eukaryotic large subunit ribosomal RNA", at positions 84 to 909 of the family's 3401-position model. Lineage: Eukaryota; Fungi; Basidiomycota; Agaricomycetes; Polyporales; Irpicaceae. The record is from RNAcentral.